This is a non-coding RNA of Arachis ipaensis, 1783 nucleotides long. The record is from RefSeq and is a predicted model, not a curated record. Lineage: Eukaryota; Viridiplantae; Streptophyta; Magnoliopsida; Fabales; Fabaceae.
UCGAUUUUGACAACGUGCAAGUGCCGUCUAUCUCAUUCUCAGAGCGGUGAGUUGAUGACUGUGAUACUGAUCAAUUCGGAGUGGUUGAUGAUUGAUAAUACCGUAAUACUACCUCGGAGGACAAUCAUGGCAGCCCUUCAACCGAGUCACUUUAACGAUGUCACUGUUGUCUUGCUGCUACUUCUGUGCACCAUCAUCACACCCUUCUCUUCCAUUUCAGCUCAACAGCAUGUGAAAGACCCUUCAAUCACAUCAACCAUGGAGCAAUUCUCCGGUUAUGCAAUCCAUGAGCCUCACUCUUCCCUCUCUUCACUCUUAGUUGAUGCUCAGGGUCUCCAGAACCAGAUUGAUGAGCUCUCAACAUUUUCUGAUUCACCUGCUCCAUCAGUAACAAGGGUCUUGUAUACUGACAAGGAUGUCUUGGCCCGCAGGUAUGUAAAGAACUUGAUGGGACUUGCUGGUCUAUCUGUCAGAGAGGACACUGUCGGUAACAUUUUUGGUCGAUGGGAUGGUAAUGAACCAGAGCUUGCUGCAGUUGCAACAGGUUCACACAUUGAUGCUAUACCUUACUCUGGAAAAUAUGAUGGAGUUGUUGGUGUUUUAGGCGCUAUUGAAGCCAUCAAUGUGCUUAAAAGGUCUGGCUUUAAACCUAAGAGACCACUGGAAAUCAUAUUGUUCACAUCGGAAGAACCAACGCGCUUUGGAAUAGGUUGCUUGGGAAGCCGCUUGUUAUCUGGAAGUGAGAGUCUUGCCAAUGCUCUAAGUAAAGCAACUGAUAGUCAAAACAUAUCCUUCUUAGAUGCUGCAAGAUCAGCUGGUUAUGCGAAAGAUGUCGAUGACUUAUCCAGUGUAUUUCUAAAGAAAGGGACAUAUUCUGCUUUUGUAGAAUUACACAUAGAACAAGGGCCUAUUCUAGAAGCGGAAGGUAUCUCUAUAGGUAUAGUUACUGCAAUUGCAGCUCCAGCGAGUCUUAAGGUUGACUUUGAAGGCAAUGGCGGCCAUGCCGGUGCUGUCCUUAUGCCUAACAGAAAUGAUGCUGGAUUGGCUGCUGCUGAAUUAGCCCUGGCUGUUGAGAAACAUGUGUUGGAAUCUGGGUCUAUUGAUACAGUUGGCACUGUUGGUAUCUUGGAACUGCACCCUGGAGCCAUCAACAGCAUCCCUAGCAAAGCACACAUCGAAAUUGGUGUGUAUUAUGUGACACAUUUUCCAAUGCAUGGCCUUCUUUAUUUGAUUUUAUUGACACGAGAGACAUUGAUGAGGAACGAAGAAACAAUGUGGUUGAGAAAAUUCACCAAUCAGCGAUUAGAAUAACCGAAACUCGUGGUGUCAAGCUUUCUGAGUUUAGUAUCAUCAAUCAGGAUCCACCAGCCCUUUCUUCUGAGGCAGUCAUCAAGGCAAUGGAAACUGCGACGAGAGAGCUAAACUUGACGAGCAAGUUGAUGAUUAGUAGAGCCUAUCACGAUUCAUUGUUUAUGGCUAGGGUAUCCCCAAUGGGCAUGAUUUUCAUUCCAUGUUACAAAGGAUACAGCCAUAAGCCUGAAGAGUUUGCAAGCAUUCAAGAUAUGUCAAAUGGAGUAAAAGUAUUAGCACUCACACUUGCUAAAUUGUCCCUUGAGUAAUAUCUUCUGUAGUGAUAUUUAGUAUGUACUCACCAUUGUAGAGCAAGGAUAUGUAAUUUAAUAAUACUGAUUAAAUAAUGUUAAAUUUAGAUGUACCCCAUUACAGUGGUUGAACUUAAUCCAUCUAAUAUGACCAGUGAGCAUUAAAGAAACACUUUUCGUAG